GACGAACGCUGGCGGCGUGCUUAACACAUGCAAGUCGAACGGUAAGGCCCUUCGGGGUACACGAGUGGCGAACGGGUGAGUAACACGUGGUUGAUCUGCCCUGCACUUCGGGAUAAGCCUGGGAAACUGGGUCUAAUACCGGAUAGGACUCCUGGCUUCAUGGUUGGGGGUGGAAAGCUUUUGCGGUGUGGGAUGGGCCCGCGGCCUAUCAGCUUGUUGGUGGGGUAAUGGCCUACCAAGGCGACGACGGGUAGCCGGCCUGGGAGGGUGACCGGUCACACUGGGACUGAGAUACGGCCCAGACUCCUACGGGAGGCAGCAGUGGGGAAUAUUGCACAAUGGGCGCAAGCCUGAUGCAGCGACGCCGCGUGAGGGAUGACGGCCUUCGGGUUGUAAACCUCUUUCAGCUAUGACGAAGCGCAAGUGACGGUAGUAGCAGAAGAAGGACCGGCCAACUACAUGCCAGCAGCCGCGGUAA
This 478-nucleotide ribosomal RNA is filed under the name uncultured bacterium. RNAcentral's name for it is "partial 16S ribosomal RNA". It matches the Rfam family "Bacterial small subunit ribosomal RNA", at positions 28 to 523 of the family's 1533-position model. The record is from RNAcentral.